AUACGGAGGGUGCAAGCGUUAAUCGGAAUUACUGGGCGUAAAGCGUACGUAGGCGGUUAUUUAAGUCAGAUGUGAAAGCCCCGGGCUUAACUUGGGAACUGCAUUUGAAACUGGGUAACUAGAGUUUAGUAGAGGGGAGUGGAAUUUCAGGUGUAGCGGUGAAAUGCGUAGAGAUCUGAAGGAACACCAGUGGCGAAGGCGACUCCCUGGACUAAAACUGACGCUGAGGUACGAAAGCGUGGGUAGCAAACGGGAUUAGAAACCCGAGUAGUCC
This 274-nucleotide ribosomal RNA is filed under the name uncultured bacterium. Its description in RNAcentral is "partial 16S ribosomal RNA". It matches the Rfam family "Bacterial small subunit ribosomal RNA", at positions 523 to 796 of the family's 1533-position model. The record is from RNAcentral.